UGGGGAAUAUUGGACAAUGGGCGAAAGCCUGAUCCAGCCAUGCCGCGUGUGUGAAGAAGGUCUUCGGAUUGUAAAGCACUUUAAGUUGGGAGGAAGGGCAGUAAAUUAAUACUUUGCUGUUUUGACGUUACCGACAGAAUAAGCACCGGCUAACUCUGUGC
This 161-nucleotide ribosomal RNA is filed under the name uncultured bacterium. RNAcentral describes it as "partial 16S ribosomal RNA". It matches the Rfam family "Bacterial small subunit ribosomal RNA", at positions 355 to 508 of the family's 1533-position model. The record is from RNAcentral.